AUGGCAGGACCUCCCUCGGAGCUCUUGGGCCUCGUGCUUCAGCGCGUGCCGUCCCACGCCGACCGCGCGCGGUCUGCCGCCCGUGGCGCGCCGCCGCGCCUGCAGCCUGCGCUACCAGCGCUGCUCCCGUGGCUCGCCCUCCGCGACGGCUCCUUCCUCAGCCUCCCCGACGGCGAGGUCCACCGCCGCGUCCUCCUCCCGGAGGACGACGUGGCUCAUCGUGUCUCCACCGGCAGCACCCUCUUCCUCGUGCACAGCGACGAUAGAUGCUCGCUGAUGAGCCCUCUCUCCCGGGAGACGAUGGACCCUCGGUGCGUCGACCUGAACCGCCUCUGCACUUGGCCCCGCCUCCUGCGUGACACCAACAACAUCCACAAGGUUGUCGUGAUGUCUGACCACGUCGUGGCCGUCCGGACUGGAAACCGAGUGUACAGUCACGACGUCACAAUCUCUAUUCGCCGGCCGCAGUCGAUGACCGUGAUAUGGCCCUGGGCGCCCCCUGGGCAGACCUAUUCCUCCGUCCUGGACAUGGCGCUCUUCCAAGGCAAGCUCUACGUCCUCAUCACGACAAAUGUGACUGUGUACCGUCUUUUCGCCGUGGACAUUGUCGGCGGCGAAAAUAUCGGAGUCCGAUGCGUGCUCACCACGUCAAGAGAUGAUACGGAAACAGAGGAUAGAUGGGCAAAAGCCUACGCCCGGGCGAUGGAGGCCCUGGCGCCGCCGAGUCACUGCCGCCGUCGUCGCCCAUGGCAGGACCUCCCGUCGGAGCUCUUGGGCCUCGUGCUUCAGCGCGUGCCGUCCCACGCCGACCGCGCGCGGUCUGCCGCCCGUGGCGCGCCGCCGCGCCUGCAGCCUGCGCUACCAGCGCUGCUCCCGUGGCUCGCCCUCCGCGACGGCUCCUUCCUCAGCCUCCCCGACGGCGAGGUCCACCGCCGCAUCCUCAUCCUGGAGGACGACGUCGCCCACCGUGUCUCCACCGGCAGCACCCUCUUCCUCGUGCACAGAAACGACGGGUGCUCGCUGAUGAACCCUCUCUCCCGGGAUGCUACUGCCCCGCGGUGCAUCAACCUAAACACUGGGCCGGGCGUCCUGGUCGACACCGACAACAUCCGCAAGGUGGUGGUGAUGUCCGACCACGUCGUAGCAGUCCGGACAGGACACCGAAUGUACCUUAAGGACGUCAUCAUCUCUAUUUGUCGGCCCCAGUCGUUGACUGUGGAAUGGCGGUGGUCACCCCCUCAAGACACUUAUUCCUCCGUCCUCGACAUGGCGCUCUUCCAAGGCAAGCUCUACGUCCUCACCAGAAAUCAUUUUAACGUGCACCCUCUACGUCUUUACGCCAUGGACAUCGUCGGCGACAACCAUGUCAGAGUCCAAUGCAUGCUCACCACGCCAAAAGAUGGUGCGGACGCAUGGUAUAAGACUGGCACCCCCUGCCACUACCUGGUUGCGUCCGGUGAUCGGUUGUUGAUGGCGAAACAAAAGAGGACUGGGAUCGAGGUCUUCGAGGCAGCAGGCCUGAGCAGCGGCCAAGGAAGCUGGAGAAAGGUCCAUACACUGAUGGGACGGGCUCUCUUCCUCAGCGAAGGCUGCUCCGAGUCCCUCCCAGCCGGCGGCAAUCAACACGCCGGAGCUCAAGAAGACUGCAUCUACUUUAUGAGUGAACGUGUGGCUUACGAUGGCAGGACGAGGGAAUGCCGCUCCGGCGUGUACGACAUGAGAGAUGGAACUGUCUCGCCCUUGCCGUUUGAGACAACGGCUGCACGUGAAGGAAGCGAAGCCGCCGUCAUGGAUGCUGACUACUGGCAUGUGCUCGCUGGUGCCGCCCAGACCAAGGGCCUGCCCCGGCUCCCUUCUCUCCUCAGCCCCUCUUUGCGGCAUCCGCAAAAACUAGAGGAUCGAUUAGACCCAUCUAGGGCAAAAGCGUACGCCCAGGCGAUGGAGACCCUGGCACCGCCGAGUCACGGCCGCCGUCGUCGCCCAUGGCAGGACCUCCCAUCGGAGCUCUUGGGCCUCGUGCUCCAGCGUGUGCCGUCCCACGCCGACCGCGUCCGCCUGCGCGCCGUUUGCCGCGCGUGGCGCGCCAGCGCGCGCCUGCAGCCUGCGCUACCAGCGCUGCUCCCGUGGCUCGCCCUCCGCGACGGUUCCUUCCUCAGCCUCCCCGACGGCGAGGUCCACCGCCGCGUCCUCGUCCCGGACGACGACGUCGCCCACCGUGUCUCCACCGGCAGCACCCUCUUCCUCGUGCACAGCAACGACGAGUGCUCUCUGAUGAACCCUCUCUCCCGGUCCCGGGAGACAACGGCCUCUCGAUGCGUCGACCUCAACUGCCUCCGCACUCAGCCAGGCGUCCUGGUCGACACCGACAACAUCCGCAAGGUGGUGGUGAUGUCCGACCACGUCGUGGCAGUCCGGACAGGACCCCGAAUGUACCUUAAGGACGUCACUAUCUCUAUUCGUCGGCCCCAGUCGACAACCGUGGAAUGGCGGUGGUCACCCCCUGGAGACACCUAUUCCUCCGUCCGUGACAUAGCGCUCUUCCAAGACAAGCUCUACGUCCUUACCGUAACAAAUUAUGGUGUGUACCCUCUACGUCUUUACACCAUGGACAUUGUCAGCGACAACCAUGUGAGCUUCCAACGCAUGAUCGCCAUGCUAGAAGAUGACGUGCGCGACUGGAAUGCUGGCGACCUUGACCACUACCUGGUUGCGUCCGGGGAUCGGCUGUUGAUGGUGAAACGAAUGAGGGAAGUUGUUAUCGUGCUGCCGGGCCCGAGGCUGGUGAUCAUGCCGACUUGGUUCGAGGUCUUCGAGGCAGCCGACCUGGGCAGCGGUCGAGGAUGCUGGAGAAAGGUCAGUACCCUGAUGGGACGGGCUCUCUUCCUCAGCGAAGGCUGCUCCGAGUCUCUUCCAGCCGGCGGUGCCCAAAACGUCGGACCUCGAGAGGAUUGCAUCUACUUUCUGAAUGAAUGCAACCGUUACGAUGCGAGGACGAGGAGCCUUUGCUCCGGCGUGUACAACAUGAGAGAUGGGACUUUCUCGCCCUUGCCGUUUCAGGCAGCGGUUGCACGUGAAGGUCCAUUGACAUCCACUUGGUUUUUCCCUGCGGAUACAUGA
This 3117-nucleotide ribosomal RNA is filed under the name Triticum aestivum (bread wheat). Its description in RNAcentral is "partial small subunit ribosomal RNA". Lineage: Eukaryota; Viridiplantae; Streptophyta; Magnoliopsida; Poales; Poaceae. The record is from RNAcentral.